UACGAAGGGGGCUAGCGUUGCUCGGAAUCACUGGGCGUAAAGCGCACGUAGGCGGUCCGCUAAGUCAGGGGUGAAAUCCUGGAGCUCAACUCCAGAACUGCCUUUGAUACUGGCAAUCUCGAGUCCGGGAGAGGUGAGUGGAACUGCGAGUGUAGAGGUGAAAUUCGUAGAUAUUCGCAAGAACACCAGUGGCGAAGGCGGCUCACUGGCCCGGUACUGACGCUGAGGUGCGAAAGCGUGGGGAGCAAACAGG
Molecule: ribosomal RNA, 253 nt
Filed under: uncultured bacterium
Lineage: Bacteria
Description: partial 16S ribosomal RNA
Rfam family: Bacterial small subunit ribosomal RNA
Source: RNAcentral